RNAcentral lists this ribosomal RNA (445 nucleotides) under uncultured bacterium. Its description in RNAcentral is "partial 16S ribosomal RNA". It matches the Rfam family "Bacterial small subunit ribosomal RNA", at positions 354 to 796 of the family's 1533-position model. The record is from RNAcentral.
GUGAGGAAUAUUGGACAAUGGGCGCAAGCCAGAUCCAGCCAUGCCGCGUGCAGGAAGACGCAUCUAUGGUGUGUAAACUGCUUUUGUACGGGAAGAAACACUCCCUCGUGAGGGAGCUUGACGGUACCGUAAGAAUAAGGAUCGGCUAACUCCGUGCCAGCAGCCGCGGUAAUACGGAGGAUCCAAGCGUUAUCCGGAAUCAUUGGGUUUAAAGGGUCCGUAGGCGGUUUAAUAAGUCAGUGGUGAAAGCCCAUCGCUCAACGAUGGAACGGCCAUUGAUACUGUUAGACUUGAAUUACAAGGAAGUAACUAGAAUAUGUAGUGUAGCGGUGAAAUGCUUAGAUAUUACAUGGAAUACCAAUUGCGAAGGCAGGUUACUACUUGUGGAUUGACGCUGAUGGACGAAAGCGUGGGGAGCGAACAGGAUUAGAUACCCCAGUAGUCC